This 250-nucleotide ribosomal RNA is filed under the name uncultured bacterium. RNAcentral's name for it is "partial 16S ribosomal RNA". It matches the Rfam family "Bacterial small subunit ribosomal RNA", at positions 524 to 773 of the family's 1533-position model. The record is from RNAcentral.
UACGAAGGGGGCUAGCGUUGUUCGGAAUUACUGGGCGUAAAGCGCACGUAGGCGGGUCGUUAAGUCAGGGGUGAAAUCCCGGAGCUCAACUCCGGAACUGCCUUUGAUACUGGCGAUCUAGAGAUCGAGAGAGGUGAGUGGAAUUCCGAGUGUAGAGGUGAAAUUCGUAGAUAUUCGGAAGAACACCAGUGGCGAAGGCGGCUCACUGGCUCGAUACUGACGCUGAGGUGCGAAAGCGUGGGGAGCAAAC